This 430-nucleotide ribosomal RNA is filed under the name uncultured bacterium. Its description in RNAcentral is "bacterial SSU rRNA". It matches the Rfam family "Bacterial small subunit ribosomal RNA", at positions 354 to 776 of the family's 1533-position model. The record is from RNAcentral.
GUGGGGAAUAUUGCACAAUGGGGGAAACCCUGAUGCAGCAACGCCGCGUGCGGGAUGAAGGUCUUCGGGUCGUAAACCGCUGUCAGGAGGGAAGAAAUCGCCCCGGUUAAUAGCCGGGGUGGAUGACGGUACCUCCAGAGGAAGCCCCGGCUAACUCCGUGCCAGCAGCCGCGGUAAGACGGAGGGGGCGAGCGUUGUUCGGAAUUAUUGGGCGUAAAGCGCGCGUAGGCGGUCGGGUCAGUCGGACGUGAAAGCCCAGGGCUCAACCCUGGAAGGGCGUUCGAUACUGCCUGACUUGAGUACGGGAGAGGAGAGCGGAAUUCCCAGUGUAGCGGUGAAAUGCGUAGAUAUUGGGAGGAACACCAGUGGCGAAGGCGGCUCUCUGGACCGUUACUGACGCUGAGGUGCGAAAGCUAGGGGAGCAAACGGG